RNAcentral lists this transfer RNA (69 nucleotides) under bovine gut metagenome. It matches the Rfam family "tRNA", at positions 5 to 66 of the family's 71-position model. From Rfam's summary of the family: Transfer RNA (tRNA) molecules are approximately 80 nucleotides in length. Their secondary structure includes four short double-helical elements and three loops (D, anti-codon, and T loops). The record is from RNAcentral.
GGGUGUUAGCUCAGUUGGUUAGAGCGCCGGCCUGUCACGUCGGAGGUCGAGGGUUCAAGUCCCUUACAU